GCCUGGCCAGGAACUUCCGGCGUAGCUGACAGUGGAGGGAGAGCGCUUCCGCCGGCGCCACCGCCGCGCUCCUCCCCUGGCGCGCGGGUUCCCGAGUCCUAAUCUCCUCGCGGCAGCCCCGCGGCUGGGGGGCGGGGUGCCUGGUUCCCGACCGCUCUAGGCUCCAGCCUGGGGGGCGGAAAGAGGGAUCCUGGAGGUUUUCAAGAGGAGGCAUGAGCAGCUCCUAAGCCGAGAGAUAGUUUGCCCUUCAAUUCUGGACACCCAAAAGAAGCUCAUCUUGCCGAACAAGGGAGCAGGGAGAGCAUGUGAAACAUUACCAUGGUUCUGAGUCAAAGCCAUAUAAAAAGGCAUAUGCAGAUAAGUGUCACUGUUCCUCAUUCUUACUACACAUUAUUUCUACGCAUUCCCACUCACUCCCUGGAGGUAACCAAUCUCAUUUCUGGUUUACCCUUUCUGCAUUUCUUUUGUACAAAAAAGCAGAUACAUGUUUAUUUUCUUAAAAUCUCCUUCCUUUUAAAUGAGGUAGUUUAUCUUCUUUGGUGUCUUUCUUUUCUCAUAAUUUUUUAAUGUUCUCCUGGAUAUUCUUGCCUGUUUAUUUUUCCACAAGAACUUCAGUAUCAACUUAUAUAGCUCCAUUAAAAAAAACCUUGUUGAUAUUUAUUUUGGAAUUGCAUUAAAUCUAUAAAUUGACUUAAAGACAUCUUUAUAAUGUUGACUCAUCCUAUACAAGAAUAGAUGAUGUCUUUUCAUUUGUUCAAGUUUACAUUUUUGGCUUUCAGGAGUGUUUUAAAUUUGUCAUGUCUAGGUUUUACACAUUUCUCAUUACGUAUAUUUCUGGGUAUUUAAUCUUUUUUAUUGCUACUAACAUGGGGCUUUCUCUACCUUUAUGAACUGUAACUGGUUAUUAUUUGUGUAUAUGCACUGAAAAGGGUACAUAUUGUGGGAAGACAAGUGCAGACAUGUUGAAUUUGAGGUAACAGCAGAAUAUACAAGUGAAAAUGUUCUGGAGGCAUUUUGAAAUGCCGGACAAGAGCUAGGAGAGAUAUUAGGGAUUGAUUUUUUUAAAUCUAUAUAUGGGUGAUGAUUGAAACCAGAAGGUAGAAUGUGAUCCUAAGGGAAGAGAGUUACUAAAAAAAUAAAAAUAAAAUAAAAAACUUCAAGCUGAGGCCUGAAUGUUGGAGAACACUCAGGUUUAGGACACGGAGAGGAGGUAGGAGGAACACCAGAAUAAGGGAAGUCACAAAGGCCAACAAGGAAGAAAGAUCCAGAGAGUAAAAGUGGGCCUCUGUGGCAGAAGCUACAAAGACAAUGAAACCUGAGCAAAUGCCAUUAGACGCAGGUAAUUAAUGUUUUCCAAAGCUUGGUCCCCAGCAUUCUAGUUCCUUCAAAAAAUGUUAUGGAGAUCAAAAAGUUUGGAAAGCGCUGAUUAAUCCAAAUUAAAUAGGUUUCUUUACUAUGGGACUUGUUAGAACUAUCAACAUGCUCCUGGGAAAUCUGAGUUUCCAUAAUAGAGAAUGGUAUGCAGAUUUCUACAUUUCUGUUUUCCAACUAACCUAGAGUUUCCUUAACCGAUCUUUUUUUUCCAAAAGAAUUUCUCAAGACGAGAUGCGUCUUGGAACAUACUUUGGAAAUGUUAGAGCACACGGAAACAGACCUUUCUAACUCUGGAAGAUUGCCACCAAGUAGUGUUAGUGUCGUCAACCACAGCCACAGCCGAGCAACACUCUGGAAGCCACUCUCAAGCAGGCACCCAGAGCUGGAGAUGACAGGAGGGUGCACUGAGGCCGAGCGGGGCUAUAUUGAGAGCAAGGGAGAAGCAAGGAGCCAUUUGAGUCAAAAGGCCCAGGAGUUUCUGGAAACUCACAAGCAAUCUGGCAGCACAGUUCCCAAGAGGUCUGACCCAGGAGAGCCAGAAAGACUCUCUGGUUCUCAGAAGCAAAUCCCCAACCCUGGGAAUCCAGAAGCUGCAGGCUCUUUCCAGAAGUGAGCAGCUCCUGCCAGAGUCCUUCCAGACUAAGCUGUAGGGGGGCAAAAACCUGGCAGGCAGGGUGGGGACAGGGCUGACUGGGAUUCUAUCUCUCAAAUAGAAAACAACCUAAAUAGUCCAACAUUCUAAAUGAAAUUUUUUAAAUUGAAAACUUUAAAUGAAGUCACUCCUCAAGAAAUACUUUGUCAGCAUAGGAGAAAGUGCUUCUCUAAAUAAACACGUUAAAAGAAAUUAUAGUGACCCUGGAAGACAGCAGAGAGUUGGAUGGAUUUAUCAUAAAUCUGUUCAUUGAGAUGGAGCAUUCAUUUAAAUAGAAGUCAUGUGCAAAAAGAAAUCUUUUGCAUGAUAUUUAGUAGUAAAUUAAAAGGCAUGACAAUUGCUUGAUUAUCCAAUACUAAUGCAAGAUUCUUAAUUUUUUUAAGGCUUAGAGGCAUUGCACAGUCUAGAGGUAAGUGGAUAUAUAAAUACAGUCCACUGGAUCGAUGCUUGCCUCGUAGAAUUUCACCCAACUUCAGGUCCUAAAUUUGUUCCAGUUGUGAACAAGUCUGAACCAAGCCUGGUAGCAUAUUGGAAACCCCAUUCCCAUCAGUUCGUAGGGUCUGGAAUGAGUCUUGUUAAUCUAACUGUGGUAUCCAGGGCACCCGUACCUACCUGACCUUCAUCUUCCCUGUCCCCAUCUUCCCUGUGCAUACCUAAUCUGCAUUACAGGACUUCUUCCCCAGUUUAUUUGGUAACCCAUUUUUCUCCUAGAUAUAUAUCUGUCCUAAACCCUUUUGACUGGGGUCUUGACAGUCACCCUAGUCCUUGUCAGUAGCUAACCUUGACACCUCCCCAACACCAUCACCAACCCUACACUCUACCGGACUGCUGGGGCCUUGCCUCCAACCGGACAGAAAUCUCACAGCCACUAUUCUUUCACCAUUUGACUUAAAUUAUCACCACCUCAUGGAGAUCCCUGCCACGAGGCCUCAACCCAAAUAUCUGAUGUUUUUAGCAUAGGCACUAAUUGAAUAGGAUGAAAGCUCAUAACAGUUCCCUGGACAUCAUGAUUUGGAAUGCUGACAACUCCCAACCAUCAGUCUUAGCCGCGCUUAUGCCCAAAUAGGUCCCCUUUCCCAACAAUCUGCCCGGAAUGAGGCCCCAAAAUACUUUUUAAGAAAUUUUAAUAACUUGGGGCGCCUGGGUGGCUCAGUCGGUUGAGCG
Leptonychotes weddellii (Weddell seal) is the source of this 3190-nucleotide non-coding RNA. NCBI's taxonomy places the organism in Eukaryota, Metazoa, Chordata, Mammalia, Carnivora, Phocidae. The record is from RefSeq and is a predicted model, not a curated record.